Long non-coding RNA from Mercurialis annua (annual mercury), 1166 nucleotides. RefSeq lists it as uncharacterized. The transcript has 4 exons. The record is from RefSeq and is a predicted model, not a curated record. Lineage: Eukaryota; Viridiplantae; Streptophyta; Magnoliopsida; Malpighiales; Euphorbiaceae.
AGAAUCGUGUUGAGGCACGAUUCUGAAGCCCUUCCCCCGUGUAUCUCGGCCCCAAAAUCUCCAACUUCUAACUUCACAAUCCAAGCUCUAUUUAUUCCCUUGAAUUCUCAUCAACCCUAGCCGUAUUUGUGUUCCUUGCAUCUCUGAAAUUCAUCAAAACUCCAUCGCCCUCAUCAGUAAGCUCUUUCCUUCACAAACCCAGUUUUAUUCAAUUACGUUGCUUCCAUUCGAAAUUAAUAUCUCUCUCGUUUCAGCACCAAAUUGCGUUCCGUUUAAUUCCAGAGAUUGUAGACUCAACCCUCUACAAGUCCGUGCUUAUUUUUCAGAUAACACCGUUUGAAGAUCGAGAUCAGUUUUGUUUAUUUCCAGCGAUAGAAGACUCACGUGUCUACAAAUCCCAACUUUUGUUUCGUCAAACGCCGUUCGGGGAUCAAAAUCAGUUCUGUCCAUUCCCCGUGAAAGUAGACUCACGCCUCUACGAUUCUAUACAUUUCUUUCGUCAAACGACUCUUCGACUACUCGCGCUCCGGAGUCGAACCAGGGUUAGCUGUUUGCCGAAGUUCACGUGGAUAAGGAAGCAUUGAGUUUGUAGUGCUAUUUACCGAUUUAUUAAAUACCGCAUCGUAUUUUAAUAUUAUAAAUGUUUUUGAACUGUUUUUACGGAUUAUGGAUCUUGAUUGAAACGAGCUACUCGAUAGGCUUGUAUCGAGACUGUGUGCACCGGUAAGUACUCUGGGAAAAGGCAGACUAAUGAUUUGCUUACGCUGGUAUAUAUAUAUAUGACGAGAAUUUGUUCCCGUCCACUCUGGGUUUAUUAGUAUGCUAUGUCAUACUUACGCUGGGAUCAUUUAAAUAUUGUUUUCCAUAAUCAUAUUAUAUUAGUGUAAAAAGGUUUUGAUUUAAAGGUUUUAAACUUAAUAAAUGUAAAUAGUAUUGCGAACUCAUCUCAGUAUAUCUGACCCCGUUGUUUUCCCAAAUUUUUCAGGUUUAUGAUUUGAAAGCUGGUCCGCUCCGAUUCUUUUGAUUCUUCGGAGGUUUUUACGUUAUUUAAAUUAGUUACUGUUUUCGAACUCUUAGACCACAGUAGAACUAGUUAUUAUAUAUUACAUUGAUAUUACACUUGGGAUUAUCGAUUUGAUCGAUUAUUUAUUAUUAGUAUAUUUACU